This is a long non-coding RNA of Schistocerca piceifrons (Central American locust), 273 nucleotides long. RefSeq lists it as uncharacterized. The transcript is spliced from 2 exons. The record is from RefSeq and is a predicted model, not a curated record. NCBI's taxonomy places the organism in Eukaryota, Metazoa, Arthropoda, Insecta, Orthoptera, Acrididae.
UCACUACACGAAUGUUCCACGUCCAUCAAACGGUCGCUGCUGCUACUCAUGUUGAGAUCUCAGCGGCCACUAUGCAUCACUGCUGCAGGAUUCUUCCCUCUCUCCAGGGAGUCCUUCGUGGCGAUUUUAAACCUCUCUUACUCAUUCUUCGCCAUUCUUCGAAAUUUCAAGGAGGAUUAAAAAUGGACGGACUCUGCUUCUAUACUCAUUGCUGUUUUAUUGUGAUAUAAUAUCCCUGUCUAAAGUAAUAAAGCGUUGCAGACCUAAAAACAA